AUUCUGGCUCAGGAUGAACGCUGGCGGCGUGCCUAAUACAUGCAAGUCGAACGAGGUGCUUUUGUAGCAAUACGAGAGUAUCCUAGUGGCGAACGGGUGAGUAACGCGUUGGUGACCUACCCCAAAGUGUGGGAUAACAGUCCGAAAGGAUUGCUAAUACCGCAUGUGGUUAUUGGAUUUAGAAACCGGUAACUAAAGGAGCAAUUCGCUUUGGGAGGGACCUGCGUCCCAUCAGCUAGUUGGUGAGGUAAUGGCUCACCAAGGCGACGACGGGUAGGGGACCUGAGAGGGUGACCCCCCACAAUGGAACUGAAACACGGUCCAUACACCUACGGGUGGCAGCAGUAGGGAAUAUUGCUCAAUGGGCGAAAGCCUGAAGCAGCAACGCCGCGUGUGUGAUGAAGGCCUUCGGGUCGUAAAGCACUUUUCUGGGAGAUGAGAAAGGACAGUAUCCCAGGAAUAAGUCUCGGCUAACUACGUGCCAGCAGCCGCGGUAAAACGUAGGAGGCGAGCGUUAUCCGGAUUCACUGGGCGUAAAGCGCGUGCAGGUGGCGCGGUAAGUUGGGUGUGAAAUCUCCCGGCUCAACUGGGAGAGGUCAUUCAAUACUACCGUGCUUGAGAGCAGAAGAGGAAGAUGGAAUUCCCGGUGUAGUGGUGAAAUGCGUAGAUAUCGGGAGGAACACCAGUGGCGAAGGCGAUCUUCUGGUCUGUUUCUGACACUCAGAGGCGACAGCUAGGGUAGUAAACGGGAUUAGAGACCCCGGUAAUCCUAGCCGUAAACGAUGUGAACUUGGCGUUGGUGGGUUAAACUCCAUCAGUGCCGUAGCAAACGCGAUAAGUUCACCGCCUGGGGACUACGGCCGCCAG
RNAcentral lists this ribosomal RNA (867 nucleotides) under uncultured bacterium. RNAcentral's name for it is "bacterial SSU rRNA". It matches the Rfam family "Bacterial small subunit ribosomal RNA", at positions 16 to 892 of the family's 1533-position model. The record is from RNAcentral.